CCUCUAGCAUUUCCAGUAUUAGAAGGCACUUGCCUGCCCAGUGACAUCUGUUUAAACGGCCGCGGUAUCCUAACCGUGCAAAGGUAGCAUAAUCACUUGUUCCCUAAAUAGGGACUUGUAUGAAUGGCCACACGAGGGUUUUACUGUCUCUUACUUCCAAUCAGUGAAAUUGACCUUCCCGUGAAGAGGCGGGAAUGACUAAAUAAGACGAGAAGACCCUAUGGAGCUUUAAUUAACUGAUUCACAAAAAACAACACACAAACCUAACCUUCAGGGACAACAAAACUUUUGAUUGAAUCAGCAAUUUCGGUUGGGGUGACCUCGGAGAACAAAACAACCUCCGAGUGAUUUAAAUCCAGACUAACCAGUCAAAAUAUAUAAUCACUUAUUGAUCCAAACCAUUGAUCAACGGAACAAGUUACCCUAGGGAUAACAGCGCAAUCCUAUUCCAGAGUCCAUAUCGACAAUUAGGGUUUACGACCUCGAUGUUGGAUCAAGACAUCCUAAUGGUGCAACCGCUAUUAAGGGUUCGUUUGUUCAACGAUUAAAGUCUU
RNAcentral lists this ribosomal RNA (554 nucleotides) under Equus caballus (horse). RNAcentral describes it as "partial large subunit ribosomal RNA". It matches the Rfam family "Bacterial large subunit ribosomal RNA", at positions 1819 to 2597 of the family's 2925-position model. The record is from RNAcentral. Lineage: Eukaryota; Metazoa; Chordata; Mammalia; Perissodactyla; Equidae.